GACGAACGCUGGCGGCGUGCUUAACACAUGCAAGUCGAACGAUGAAGAAAAGAAUCGAAGCUUCGGCAGAAAUUCAUUUCGGAUUAGUGGCAGACGGGUGAGUAACGCGUGAGCAACCUACCUCUUACAAAGGGAUAGCCUCGGGAAACCGGGAUUAAUACCAUAUAACAUUGCGACGAAGCAUUUCGAUGCAAUCAAAGCUACGGCGGUAAGAGAUGGGCUCGCGUCCCAUUAACCGGAUGGUGAGGUAACGGCUCACCAUAGUGACGAUGGGUAACCGGCCUGAGAGGGUGAACGGUCACACUGGAACUGAGACACGGUCCAGACUCCUACGGGAGGCAGCAGUGGGGAAUAUUGCACAAUGGAGGGAACUCUGACGCAGCGACGCCGCGUGAGUGAUGAAGGAAUUCGUUUCGUAAAACUCUGUUCUAUGGGAAGAAAAGGACUGUACCAUAGGAGAAAGCUCCGGCUAAAUACGUG
Molecule: ribosomal RNA, 480 nt
Filed under: uncultured bacterium
Lineage: Bacteria
Description: partial 16S ribosomal RNA
Rfam family: Bacterial small subunit ribosomal RNA
Source: RNAcentral